AACGCGUGGGUAAUCUACCUUCGAAUUGGGGAUAACGUUGCGAAAGCGACGCUAAUACCGAAUAACAUCCACUAAUCUUCGGGUUUUUGGAUCAAGGGUGGCCUCUACAUGUAAGCUACUGUUUGAAGAUGAGCCCGCGUACCAUUAGCUUGUUGGUGGGGUAAAGGCCUACCAAGGCGUCGAUGGUUAGCUGGUCUGAGAGGAUGAUCAGCCACACUGGAACUGACACACGGUCCAG
Molecule: ribosomal RNA, 238 nt
Filed under: uncultured bacterium
Lineage: Bacteria
Description: partial 16S ribosomal RNA
Rfam family: Bacterial small subunit ribosomal RNA
Source: RNAcentral